UAAAGUUACUCUAUUUUUAAAAAAAAUUACACUGUUUUAAAUGAAAGUUGCAUUCUUUGAGACAGAAAUUAUAUUUUUUGGGAUUAGAUUGUUAAGUAUUGUGUGUUUGCAAGUUUCGUGAAGUGAAUCGGAGUCUUGAAGAAUCGGUGCGUGUCGUCUAAGAUUGAAGAAUUCAAGAUUUUGAAGAAGUUGGAAAAUAACUCACGAUGUGAAUCACGACGUAAAGGUAAUGUGUUAAUUCAUGUUAUGGUGAUUCAAACUUAGUUAUAGGCAUUAGAAUCAUUUUUAUAAAUAUUUAGCUGAUUAGAAAGUGUUUUGGAACUCUGCGA
This 329-nucleotide long non-coding RNA is filed under the name Ananas comosus (pineapple). Its description in RNAcentral is "long non-coding RNA (ACOM_LNC004105)". Lineage: Eukaryota; Viridiplantae; Streptophyta; Magnoliopsida; Poales; Bromeliaceae. The record is from RNAcentral.